UGUUGAAUCGUACUACUUGAAUGUAAACUUGUUUGUAUGCUAAGAACACCACAUGCAACGAAAAUAUUAUGCUUUAAGGGGUUAGAUGUAUUGUUUUUUCCCCCAUAUCUUUUCUUUAUUAUGUCUAUUUUGUAUUACUUUAUUGCUUAAUUUCCUGAGAAAUGAUUGCAUUUGAUAUGGUCUACAAGUUUUCAGUGUUGGUCCUGAGGAUGCUGCAGUUGUUGGUAAUCAACUGUCAGAAGAAGAGAAAACUACUCUUCAGACUCAACUGAGAGGAUACGAAGCAACACUGAGCAAUUCCCCAAGAGAUCCAACUGCUCUUGAGGGAGCUGCUGUAACCUUGGCUGAGUUAGGAGAAUAUACCAGAGUGGUCUCUUUGCUUGAGAACUUGACAAAGGAGAAGCCAAGUGACCCUGAUGUUUUUCGUUUGGUUGGAGAAGUUAAGUAUAAACUAAAGGAUUAUGAGGGAAGCGCUAACGCAUAUGAAAGUGCUGCAAAGGUUUCUAAGUAUCUCAGUUUUGAAGUUCUACGAGGCCGAGCAAAUGCACUACUUGCUGCUAAGAAACCAGAUGAGGUUUGUUCUCACAUUAGUGGAUCACAUUGCUUUUACAACGGUCCUUUGAUAAGAAUGUUGUAAAAAGUAAUAUUGUAGUUUUCUACAUGCAUGGUUCACGAUUUUAUGGAACUUUUUAUUAAUGUUAUGGUUUACUAUGAAUCUGUUAGUCUUUCUCUUAUUUUUAGAUCAUUAUAAGUAAGUGUUGU
This is a long non-coding RNA of Humulus lupulus (European hop), 762 nucleotides long. RefSeq lists it as uncharacterized. NCBI's taxonomy places the organism in Eukaryota, Viridiplantae, Streptophyta, Magnoliopsida, Rosales, Cannabaceae. The record is from RefSeq and is a predicted model, not a curated record. The transcript has 5 exons.